CAGCCGCCACGGUAAUACGUAGGUGGCAAGCGUUGUCCGGAAUUAUUGGGCGUAAAGCGCGCGCAGGCGGAUCAGUCAGUCUGUCUUAAAAGUUCGGGGCUUAACCCCGUGAGGGGAUGGAAACUGCUGAUCUAGAGUAUCGGAGAGGAAAGUGGAAUUCCUAGUGUAGCGGUGAAAUGCGUAGAUAUUAGGAAGAACACCAGUGGCGAAGGCGACUUUCUGGACGAAAACUGACGCUGAGGCGCGAAAGCCAGGGGAGCGAACGGGAUUAGAGACCCCAGUAGUCCCUGUCUCUUAUACC
RNAcentral lists this ribosomal RNA (301 nucleotides) under uncultured bacterium. RNAcentral describes it as "partial 16S ribosomal RNA". It matches the Rfam family "Bacterial small subunit ribosomal RNA", at positions 509 to 808 of the family's 1533-position model. The record is from RNAcentral.